Long non-coding RNA from Manacus vitellinus (golden-collared manakin), 287 nucleotides. The record is from Ensembl. Lineage: Eukaryota; Metazoa; Chordata; Aves; Passeriformes; Pipridae.
GAAGUAUGUAGCCUGGAAAUCAGAUGCAUGCUGUCAACAGAAACUGUUUAAAGCUAUGAAAAAAACUUUUGAAUUUUUCUGCACAUUUUAGACAAAAAGUAUAUAGAAUAUUUGAGGUUCAGAGAGACCAAAGCCACCAAAUCCAGAAGGACAUCAAGUAGAAAUACAAAAGUCAGAAAAAGCAAGAAGCUACAAAUCAUUUCCACCCCAGUGUGUCAGAGCCCACACUCAUUACCUCCCUGACAACAUCCCAGAACUUGGAGUUAAAGGGAUGGAAACAAGGUGAG